GGCAAGAUGGCCGAGUGGUCUAAGGCGGGAGACUCAAGAUCUCUUCCACCUAGUGGGCGAGGGUUCGAACCCCUCUCUUGUCA
Molecule: transfer RNA, 83 nt
Filed under: Perkinsela sp. CCAP 1560/4
Lineage: Eukaryota; Euglenozoa; Kinetoplastea; Prokinetoplastida; Perkinselidae
Rfam family: tRNA
About the family: Transfer RNA (tRNA) molecules are approximately 80 nucleotides in length. Their secondary structure includes four short double-helical elements and three loops (D, anti-codon, and T loops).
Source: Rfam by way of RNAcentral